GCUGGGUGUGGUGGCGCACGCCUGUAAUCCAAGUGACUCCAGAGGCUGAGGCAGGAGGAUCACAAGUUCAAAGCCAGUCUCAG
Molecule: small RNA, 83 nt
Filed under: Marmota monax (woodchuck)
Lineage: Eukaryota; Metazoa; Chordata; Mammalia; Rodentia; Sciuridae
Source: RNAcentral